Molecule: ribosomal RNA, 51 nt
Filed under: uncultured bacterium
Lineage: Bacteria
Description: partial 16S ribosomal RNA
Source: RNAcentral
GGCUAACGGCAAGGGGCCGCGUUACCACGGUGUCGUUUCGUGACUGGGGUG